CACAACUUUCAGGGACCCUAUUUGGCUCUUGGGCGCUGCUUUCAGAACUACUGGCAAAAAAUAUACAAAAGAUAUGGAGAUUCUAACUCUGCAUGUAGCUCCCACUGCUGGUUAAUAUGGCAUAGUUUGUGAAAGGUGUCCUUGAUAGGUGCUAAGUCACUGUGAUGCUGUUCUCAAAUCUCUUACCUUGGAGAUUACGUUCUGCUGUUCUGUUGCUACGCUCCUGAAGAAACCCUGCCAAGCUGCCCUGCAGAGGGACACCAACACAACCGUGCAGGACUAAACUGACUGAAAAUACAAAAUAGAUUGCAAGGCCACUGAGUCAUCUGCCCACUGCGCAAACACACACACACACACACACACACACACACACACACACACACACACACACACACACCUGUCCACGAUCCACAGUCUCAGGGCUGACCUUGUCAAGCAGAGAAAGGUGAGGGCAGAGUAAGAGUGUACUGAAAAGGGCAAGCUCAAGUGACAAGAUGGCCGUGUCACCACAAGUGUGUGUGUGUCACCCCGUGUGACCCUCACGUUGUCGUGGUAAUUAACAAAACCUUUAACAAGAUGUGGGCGUCGCUGGCCUUAACGAGGAAAAUGUCACACUUAAAGAGAGGGAGACAAGGACACACACACACACACACAGUGAGACAAGAUGUGACAAGGUGUCAGAGUAACUGUGAUCUGGUAAAUGUCAUCUGACUAUUUAAUUUAGUGUGUGUGUGUUUCAACUUGAUCAGUUGGGAUGUAACCUAAAAUAUAUGCGUGUUGGGAGAUAACUGGCAGGGAAAAUCUCCAAUAACACAAAAUAAGAACGAAGCAAUAAGACAAGCCUAUGGGGGAUUCAGGCGAAGCGAUCUCUCGACGCUCUCCUCCUCCAACGGUCACAUGCAUACCUUCUCAUCCCCCCCUCCAUCCUCUUCCUCUCCGCUCUUUGUCUGUCUGACUCUGAGCCUAGAGGUUUGACAACCCAUUUAUGGAGAGAGAGAUUGUGUGUGUUGUCCAGGAACACACACACAUGCAGAGUUAUCCAGGUGGUACUCAGAGGAGCUGUUCGUUGUAAUGAGUGUAGAGUAGAACUAGACUCUCAGCACCAGCUUGGUAGUUAAUUAUCUGCGCUGUGAAUUGUUGUUGAGAGCCAGUUGGAUCAGGUGUACUAGAAAUAAACCAAUAUGUAGAAUGGCUCAGGGGGGAGGGGCAAGGUCAUACUGUGUUGAGAAACACUGGUAUGGUGCUGCUAGACAGUAUACUAUAGCACUCCCAGUGACAUGUGAAACCUGUACCUCUUGCUGUCUGGGAAAAAUAACAUACAGUUGAAGUCGGAAGUUUACAAACACCUUAGCCAAAUACAUUUCAACUCAGUUUUUCAAAAUUCCUGACAUUUAAUCCUAGGUCUUAGGUCAGUUGGGAUAACCACUUUUAUUUUUAGAAUAUGAAAUGUCAGAAUAAUAGUAGAGUGAUUUUAUUUCAGCUUUUAUUUCUUUCAUCACAUUCCCAGUGGGUCAGAAGUUUACAUACACUCAAUUAGUAUUUGGUAGCAUUGCCUUUAAAUUGUUUAACUUUGGUCAAACGUGUCGGGUAGCCUUACACAAGCUUCCCACAAUAAGUUGGGUGAAUUUUGGCCCAUUUCUCCUGACAGAGCUGGUGUAACUGAGGCAGGUUUGUAGGCCUCCUUGUUUGCACACGCUUUCAGUUCUGCCCACAAAUGUUCUAUGGGAUUGAUGUCAGGGCUUUGUGAUGGCCACUCCAAUACCUUGACUUUGUUGUCCUUAAGCCAUUUUGACACAACUUUGGAAGUAUGCUUGCGGUGAUUGCUCAUUUUGGAAGACCAAUUUGUGACCAAGCUUUAACUUCCUGACUGAUGUUUUGAGAUGUUGCUUCAAUAUAUCCACAUAAUUUUCCUCCUCAUGAUGCCAUAUAUUUUGUGAAGUGUACCAGUCCCUCCUGCAGUAAAGCACCCCACAACAGGAUUCUGCCACCCCCGUGCUUCACGGUUGGGAUGGUGUUCUUCGGCUUGCAUGCCUCCCCCGAUGAUCAUUAUGGCCAAACAUUUCUAUUUUUGUUUCAUCAGACCAGAGGACAUUUCUCCAAAAAGUACAAAUCUUUGUCCCCAUGUGCAGUUGCAAACUGUAGUUUUUUAUGGCGGUUUUGGAGCAGCCAAACAGGUUAUCUCAAUAUAGGACUCGUUUUACUGUGGAUAUAGAUACUUUUGUACCCGUUUCCUCCAGCAUCUUCACAAGGUCCUUUUGAUGUUGUUCUGGGAUUGAUUUGCACUUUUCGCACCAAAGUACGUUAAUCUCUAGGAGACAGAACGCGUCUCCUUCCAGAGCAGUAUGACGGCUGCGUGGUCCCAUGGUGUUUAUACUUGCUUACUAUUGUUUGUACAGAUGAACGUGGUACCUUCAGGUGUUUGGAAAUUGCUCCCAAGGAUGAAGCAGACUUGUGGAUGUCUACAAUUUUUCUUCUGAGGUUUUGGCUGAUUUCUUUUGAUUUUCUCAUGAUGUCAAGCAAAGAGGCCCAGAGUUUGAAGGUAGGCCUUGAAAUACAUCCACAGGUACACCUCCAAUUGACUCAAAUUAUGUCAAUUAGCCUAUCAAAAGCUUCUAAAGCCAUGACAUAAUUUCUGGAAUUUUCCAAGCUGUUUAAAGGCACUGUCAACUUAGUGUAUGGUUCUGACCCACUGGAAUUGUGAUACAGUAAAUUGUGAAAUAAUCCGUCUGUAAACAAUUGUUGGAAAAAUUACUUGUUGUGCACAAAGUAGAUGUCCUAACCGACUUGCCAAAACUUUAGUUUGUUAACAAGACAUUUGUGGAGUGGUUGAAAAACAAGUUUUAAUGACUCCAACAAAAUAAUUAUAUGUAAUCUUCCGACUUCAACUGUAUGUGGUUAGUGUCUGGGAAUUCAUAGCUGCAUUCUUAUGAAUGGAAGAGGCCCAGACACAGACAGGCAGCACAUACAGAAAUAGGAUCUUAAUCUGAUCACUCUUUUGUUGCAGUGAAUUUUCCUGUACUGUGGGAAUUCAGUGAAACCCCACACUAACACACUGUUAUAUUAAGAGUAUUGCACUUUUACUGUAGCCUACUUUUGUGCAGCUAAUAGCCUAACCACCGAUCAUGCAACAUUAUUGACUAAACGUUCAAAUCCUGUUGCUGCAGCAUUAUUUUGCUGUGACAAUAAAGGUCAAAUUAAGAUCCUAUAUCUGUACACAUAUACACCCAGUUGUUUGCACACACACUGUCAAAUAUAUAUUCUCCCUGCAUCUCUACUCUCGUUACGCCUCUCUGACCCUGUCAUUGUCUGAACCAACACACACACACACCACAAAAAAUUAUACCAGACACACAAUAGCAUUCUCAUUUUGGUGGGAGGAUAAUUUGUUCAGCAUCUGUGAAAUUAGACAAGGUUUUACAAUGUAGUGCUUUCAUUAUUGAUCACUGUCAUACACAGUGUGUUUGUGUGUGUGUGUGUGUGUGUGAUGAAGCUCCUUUGUAUGUGGUUCUUUUGUGGGCUGUGAAAUACAUGCUGCAGCUGUUUAACUUGUAUUCAUGCAGUAGCCCUUUACACAGUCAUGAAAGCAUAUGUGAAUGUAUUUGUGUAUGUACAGUGCACAUGUAGCUGUUAGUCUGAAUUCAAAAUUGAUUUAAUAUUAGUUUCUCUCUCUCCCAUCAACCCACAAUACCCGACAAUGACACAGUGAAAACAUGUUUUUAUAAUUUUUGCAAAUUUAUUGAAAAUGUUAAUGGAAUAUUUCUAUAUUUUAUGUAUUCACACCCCUGUCAAUACAUGUUAGAAUCACCUUAGGCAGUGCUUACAGCUGUGAGUCUCUAAGAGAUUUGCACACCUGGAUUGUACAAUCAAGCUCUGUCAAAUUGAUUGUUGAUCAUUGCUAGACAGCCAUUUUCAAGUCUUGCCGUAGAUUUUCAAAACGAUUUAAGUCAACAAUAACUAGGCCACUCAGGAACAUUCAAUGUUGUCUUGGUAAACGACAACUGUUUUAGGUUAUUGUCCUUCUGAAAGGUGGAUUUGUUUCCCAGUGUCAAGCUUUUCCUCUUGGAUUUGCCUAUACUUAGCUAUAUUCUGUUUUUUAUUUUUAUCCUAAAAAAACUCCCUAGUCCUUGCCGAUGACAAGCAUAUCCACAACUUCAUACAGCCGCCACCAUGUUUGAAAAUAUUGUGAUGGCCCCUCCCUGCUCUGUCUACUGGGUUUUGCUGUGCUUACUUCCUGCAGGAGAUUGGUGGGCGGAGUAGGAGAGGUGGGCAGAGCUGGGAGGGUCGUCAGUGCUCAUGGGGCACACCUGUUGAAGCUCAGCUGUCAUAAAGCCACUGUUUCCCCAUUCAGCAAGAGAUUCCUCUCUCCAUGUAUACCUUUGGUUGUUUUGUUGUGGCUUUGGCAGUUGACAUCUAAUUUACUGACCUUCAUGCCUAAUCUGAUUAUUGUUGUGAGUGU
Molecule: long non-coding RNA, 4456 nt
Filed under: Salmo salar (Atlantic salmon)
Lineage: Eukaryota; Metazoa; Chordata; Actinopteri; Salmoniformes; Salmonidae
Description: lncRNA (ENSSSAG00000094975.1)
Source: RNAcentral